Long non-coding RNA from Poecilia latipinna (sailfin molly), 485 nucleotides. RefSeq lists it as uncharacterized. The record is from RefSeq and is a predicted model, not a curated record. The transcript is spliced from 3 exons. Lineage: Eukaryota; Metazoa; Chordata; Actinopteri; Cyprinodontiformes; Poeciliidae.
GCCUCCUUUGCUGCCCCUCCAAUAUUUGGACCGAUCUGUCCGUUUAUUCAUUUGCUGACAGGAAGUUGCACUGCAUCUAGGUGGAAUUGGGAAUCUGAUUAUUUGGCAGUGCAGUCAUUUAUCAGUUCACAGCCUUCUGACUCAUCAGCAUUGUACCUGGAGUGACACUCGCUGCUGUUUUGCCUACUUAGAAAUUGUUUUAAAAUACUAAUCUGCACUUUCCCUGGGGAUAAAGUGCAACCUUGUAGAGCUAUUGUAUCACUGUUUUACUUGUAUUGUUUCGUUUUUUUUUUUGUCUUUCUUUUAGGGACUGAGGCUUCUGUGGUGGCGGUGGUGACCCCUGGUGGCGGUGUCUUGUCUUGUGUGUUUUGUUGGAGCACCUUUUCUUUCUUUGUUUGCUGUGUUUUUGUAGUGUCCAGGGUGGUCCCCUUUUCUGCACUGGAUGUUGCCCCUUCCCUCACUACUUCCCCCAUUGCUAAGCCUCA